CUUCUAAGUCCUAUGUCUGGGGCCCUCGACACAAGAAAGAUGUGGAGUGUUUGGAGAGGGUCCAGAGGAGGGCCACAAAGAUGAUCCACGGGUUGGAGCACCUAUCCUAUGAAGGCAGACUGAAGGAACUGGGCUUGUUCAGCCUGGAACAGAGAAGGCUGCAGGGAGACCUCAUUGCAGCCUUCCACAGGGUGGAGAAGCAGCUGAAGGGCUGACGCUGGUCCUCCUGUGCCUGCUUAAGAUGGAAGGUGGCUCAUGGGAAUGGUAAUGCAACAACAACAAAACACAAAUACUUUUGUUAAGGUGACUGAUCUUCAUGGUUGAGAAAUAAAUGCUUGGGAAGCCAGCAUUCCCCCUUUGGGAGAGCCAUUAUUUACUGUCAUUUUGAUGACCUUCAUGUGAUGAUUAGAUCAGGAUUGGCAAGCUAUCACAGUAAAUUCAAGUGGAAGAUGGGAUCUGAAGUACUGUGCAAACUUGUGUUGCUACAGAAUCAGAAUCAUUAGAAAGCUAUUUGUUUGUUUGUUGGCUAGUUUGUUUAAUAUUUGGCUUACUAUAACUUAUCUGAUGUAAAUACAGAGGUG
This 581-nucleotide long non-coding RNA is filed under the name Gallus gallus (chicken). RNAcentral's name for it is "lncRNA (ENSGALG00010009255.1)". The record is from RNAcentral. Lineage: Eukaryota; Metazoa; Chordata; Aves; Galliformes; Phasianidae.